AUUGAACGCUGGCGGCAGGCCUAACACAUGCAAGUCGAACGGAGUGGCGGACGGGUGAGUAAUGCCUAGGAAUCUGCCCCGUAGCGGGGGAUAACGAUGGGAAAUGGGCGCUAAUACCGCAUCCUAUUGGUGCAGCCUAGGUCGGAUUAGCUAGUUGGUGGGGUAAAGGCCCACCAAGGCGACGAUCCGUAACUGGUCUGAGAGGAUGAUCAGUCACACUGGAACUGAGACACGGUCCAGACUCCUACGGGAGGCAGCAGUGGGGAAUAUUGGACAAUGGGCGAAAGCCUGAUCGAGCCAUGCCGCGUGUGUGAAGAAGGUCUUCGGAUUGUAAAGCACUUUAAGUUGGGAGGCGGUACCAGCAGAAUAAGCACCGGCUAACUACGUGCCAGCAGCCGCGGUAAUAC
This 407-nucleotide ribosomal RNA is filed under the name uncultured bacterium. Its description in RNAcentral is "partial 16S ribosomal RNA". It matches the Rfam family "Bacterial small subunit ribosomal RNA", at positions 30 to 526 of the family's 1533-position model. The record is from RNAcentral.